AGGAAGACUGAGACAUAACUCUGUAGAUUCAAGAUUAGACCUCCCCCUGCCAUACCCAAAUAGAUACUCUAUUCAAACUAUUGGGAAUAUAACUGAUUGUUUCCCAACUGGGACAAGAUAAUGAAAUCACUUGUUGUUCAAUAAGAAUAGCAUAUAAUUUGUCCGGAACUAACCUUCUGAAAUACACCAUUCCGAUGGAACAUGUAUGCUUUUGGUUCUUCAAAUAAUAUUUUUAGGCCCUAAAUGUUAAUUAAAAGAGAAAGUCUCAAACCUUCUUGGGAGCAGGUAUCUGAGGGUGGUCUUGGGUCUGCAGAGCAUCCAGCUCUGAUGAUGACCCUUGCCCUUUGCAUCUGGGCCCAGUACUUCCAUCUCUCCUUUUCUCUCUGGCUCCCACUCACAGGCAGUCCUCGGAUGCUGUAUUAGGGAACACAAGAAUUUAAGGGGGACAGGAGGCAGCCUACGUUCUGAGCCCAGCCUUUCUUUUGUCCCUUGAUCAUUUCAGUCUUUUUGCAUAUCCCCAUGAGCAGGACAAAGGAAAGGACCAAGACUUCAAACUGGACUUGAACUCCUGAGAAAGCUACAUCUCUAACAAAAACAUUUGGAUUUCUUUUGUGUAUUUUGGAGAGGGCCAUGAUACUUUCAUGCAACAAGCCACAAAAUGGAAACAUACGGUAUGAGGAUCUUGCUAUCCUAGCAGAUACGCAGAUACCCCUCUUGCUUUUAAAGAAAUAAAAGGAAACAAUACCUUUCAUACUAAAAAUGAGAACAAAAAAACAACCUAGCUAGGAAAAAAAUUAAAACUCCAUAGUAGCUCCUAGAGAGACAUUUAUUCACACAUUUAUUUUUAAAGAAGAAAAGAAUAAGUAUGUAUAGUGAGUGGCCUCCAGAAGCAGCUGUUUAACUUUCUCCCUGUUUCCCUGCAUCUGCAAGCAUAACCUUGUUGUAUUCAACAUCUGCUCUGCAGUUUCUCUUGAGAGCUGUAAUAGGAUACUGGGUCUUCUUGUCAUUCUGUAAGAUGAGUUAUUUUGAGGGAAGAAUACUUAGGGAAUUCCAUAUAAAAUACUGGUCUUGCAAUACCCAUAUAGCUUUUUAUUUUUAGUUUACAGAGUUUAAAGAUCAUACGUAGUUUUCAUUAAUCCCAUUUUGCAGAGAGAAAACUGAGGGAUAGAAAGUUCUGUCAACUGAUCACAUGGUAGAUAAGGACAGGACUCCUCCUUUUUGAUCAAGGGCCUUUUAUAAACGUUCUGCUAUAUUGUUUUGAUAUUUCCAGUUAUUUUCUGAGAGUUUGCCACAAACAGUGACGUGAGAAGGAGAAACUUUUAAAAUGAUUUUUGUUCUGAAGGAGUCCAUAGGCCUGCCAACCCAGCAAAAUGUGUUACUUAUAGGCGUAAAAGCAAUCCUACCUUUUAACUACACACUAAGGACCACCCAGCUGCUUGGCCAGAGAAGUAGGAUCUUGGGAGGUGUUUGGGUAGAUGUUAUUUUAAGUGCCAUAGAACCUUAGACUAUUACAGCUGGAAGUGAAGAUCUUCCAACUCAACUCUUUCAUUGCGCAAAUGCAACCGCAACCACAGAGGUACAAUGAAUCCCCCAGACCCCCUGCUAAGCACUACACAAAGCCCAGUCAUGGGGUUCCUCCUGAUGCUUCCUCAGGCAUUUUCUCCUGCAUUAAAAAAACACUGAUAAAUGUGCCAACCAGGAAAUGCGUGUCAGCCAAGUUUUCUGAUUUUCCUGAUUUACAUGAUAUCUGCAAAGGAUUUUUAGUUAUCCACUAAGCAGCUCCCUAAUUGACAUAAUACCAGUCUUCCUUCUUUUCUUCUGCUUUUUGCUCUUAUUCUUUAAAAUGUAUCAAAUUAUUGUUAAUAACACAUUUUAAAAAUAUCUGCUGAGAAUCACAAUGACACUGCAUUUGUGUAGUUAUAAGGUAGACUCUUGGAUUUAGGGAUACAUUCCUGUUAGCCCAGCACAUAUACACCCGAGGGCUCAUGGUUUUUGACCCACACCAUAUUUCAUGGCAUGUAGUUCAGUUGCCCCGGCUGGGUUCUCCUAUCACAAAUUGCAAGACUCUCAUACAGGGCAGACUCAGUGAGCUUACCUGUCUUACCUGGCAUGACAGGUGAAAAGAGAUGCUUACAACACCCUGGGCCUAGAACAGUGUCUGAUACUUGUAGCCCAAUAGAGUACAUAUUUGUGAAUGAAUAAAUGCACAUUGAAACUCUGCCUUUGCAAGGAAUUUGAGUCAACAGCAUCUUAGCCUCCUUGACUAAGCCACUAGUAUUUUGCUUCCUUCACAACUGACAGCUUUACUGGAGUCUCCCGGAUUCUUCAAGCAUGUCAAGGAAUAUUUUAGUCGCUUGGAUACUAGCACACUGUUAGGAUAGUGGGUCCAGAUCACUGAUUCCAUAAUGAUUCUGAGAGAUUCAAAGCCAUUUCUCCCCAUCAGCGUGUGAGCCUAUCACUAAAUAAACUUCCUGGAGUCAAGACAGUGGCGGCACCCACACACCUUGCUUCUCUUCUUGUAACCAUGGCAACACACUUGCUCUCUUGCCCGCCCCACUCUGCUCUCCAUCACCACAGAGCUGCUGGCUUAAUAAAGCCUGACAAACUUAAACAAUGGGGAUUUCUGGCCUUAAGGCCAAGAUCUUUAUUAAUUCAUAGCAGCCGUAACCAUUGAGCUGGCCUUGCUUGGCAUUCAGGAACAAAUUCCCCACCAUGAUUGAUUCCUACCACCUAGUAUCAGCUCAGCCCUUCCCUUUCCAAAAAUCAAUCAGUCAAUCAAUUGAUUCAUCUAUUAGGGGAAAAGAUUAAACUAUUUAGGUACUGAAUAAAAUUUGCUAUUUUGUCUCUCUAGACCAGGAUUUCUCGAUCUCACUGAGUCCAAGAAUGAGCAUGGGAGAGUCAUGCCAAGGAUGCUUGGCUUCCAGUCAGAGCACAGUAUAUAUUUGCUUCUGUCUGGUAGCCUCUUGCCCUUGACUUCACUGCAUAGUCCCCUCCCAUAGGUUCACUGAACUGCUAUACCUCUGCAGAAACCACCCUUGUAAGACAUCUGGAUGAGAGCUGAGUCAAGGCCUGGAGGCUGUCUGCAUUAAACUGGGCUCUCACCAUAGAUGGCUAAAGGCGGACACAGCUGGAGAGGCUCCUGCAAAUUGUGGCUGAGGUGGCAGCGGUUCUGGCGGCAACUUUGCCAUCUCUAAGCCUCCCAGCCCAGAACCAAAAGAUAAUGGCAUGCCUUGGAGCAGAAGCAGCUGAUCUCAUUACCCUUCUGGUGCAAACAGGGCAAAACCAUUCAAUAUCUCCUAUUUCUUACCAUAUAAACCCCAAGACCCCAUGACCUGGCUCCUCGCGUGCCUACCUCUCCCCAGCAUCUCUUAUCACUGUGUGAUUGUAAUCUUCUCCCUCUGCUAUGAAGAGUUGUAUAUUGUUUUCUCUCUUUUUCUCUUUUUAUGUGCCUGGACCUUGUUCUUACAGUUCUAUUGACCUGGAAUGCUCUUUCUUCUUUCCUUCCUUUUCAUCCUUCAAAACACACCCUAAAUGUCCAACAAGAAGACAGUGGAUACAUGAAUUACUGUGGUUUGCCAUCCAUUUCUCCCUGUCAGGGCCAAGGCACUCACCCACCAGCUGUCAGGAGUGUUGACCACUGACUGUUCACAGCUGAGGCCCUCUGCUCUUAGAGCCUUGGGUUGAAGGAAGCUGCUUUGCCCAGGGUUAUAUGAACCCACAUCCAGUGGCCAGUUCGUGCAAGGGUACAGAGGCUUGCACAGCUCCAAAGGGCCACCCCAGCUGAGAACUACCCCCUGGAAUGGCCUGAAGCCUCCAUUUCAACUGCACCACAUCCUAAGCUCUCCCUCUGCCCAACCCUGCCUGUCUUGCUUCCUUACAGGCAGCAAUCAAAGCGUCCUCCCCAGCAUGUAAACCUCUAUUUCAGAGUAUGUUUCCCAGGUAACCUAAAGACAAGGCAAAUCUAGGAAAAAAUAAUAUGUAAUCAUUAAAAUUUUUAAUUUAUGUGUUAAGAAUAUUUCAUGA
This 4023-nucleotide long non-coding RNA is filed under the name Homo sapiens (human). Its description in RNAcentral is "HSALNT0303852". Lineage: Eukaryota; Metazoa; Chordata; Mammalia; Primates; Hominidae. The record is from RNAcentral.